AUACGUAGGUGACAAGCGUUAUCCGGAUUUACUGGGCGUAAAGGGCGUGUAGGCGGUCUUGCAAGUCAGAAGUGAAAUUCCUGAGCUCAACUCGGGCGCUGCCUCUGAAACUGCAGGACUUGAGUGCUGGAGGGGAUAGCGGAAUUCCUAGUGGAGCGGUAAAAUGCGCAGAUAUUAGGAAGAACACCGGUGGCGAAGGCGGCUAUCUGGAAAGUAACUGACGCUGAGGCGCGAAAGCGUGGGGAGCAAACAGGAUUAGAUCCCCUGGAAGUCCACGCCGUAAACGAUGAAUACUAGGUGUAGGGGGUAUCGACUCCCUCUGUGCCGCAGUUAACACAAUAAGUAUUCCGCCUGGGGAGUACGGCCGCAAGGUUGAAACUCAAAUGAAUUGACGGGG
Molecule: ribosomal RNA, 397 nt
Filed under: uncultured bacterium
Lineage: Bacteria
Description: partial 16S ribosomal RNA
Rfam family: Bacterial small subunit ribosomal RNA
Source: RNAcentral